Molecule: long non-coding RNA, 33318 nt
Filed under: Ananas comosus (pineapple)
Lineage: Eukaryota; Viridiplantae; Streptophyta; Magnoliopsida; Poales; Bromeliaceae
Description: long non-coding RNA (ACOM_LNC012339)
Source: RNAcentral
UUUCAAAUAAGUAGUUUCGCGGACGAAACUAAUUUUAAGGGGUGGAGAAUGUAACAUACCGAAAUAUUGGUAGGCGAAUGUCAAACUUUAGUCAAAAUGACCAAAGUGCGAGGUUGGUACGCUUCGGAAAGGCCGAAGGCGUCAAAAAGAGCAAAAGUGCAUUAUAAGAGGUCUUCGAGAGCAAGCUGGACCAAGUCUGCAAGACUGCAGCCUUGGUGCUCUCAGGGACCGGUCCCUGAGUUGAAGGACCUGUAAGGUACCGGACUUCUAAAAUUAUGAAGUUACGGUGUACAUUUGAUUGGAAAGCCAUUUGAAUGGUUCCGGUGAGGUUGCGGUGGAAUGUAACAUACCGAAUUUUAAAUAUAAAAGUGGAAAUAAAUAAAAUAGUAUGAGAUACUAUUUUUAUUGAAUUUAGAGAAGUGAAAUAUAAGUUGGAAAUGACAUGUGCUGAAAUCGGAAUGAAAACAGAAGAUUUAGAAUUUUCUGUACGAAACGGGACAGAUAAAUUAGCAGAAAUUGCACAGUAUCAGAAAAUUGUGAAAACUGGAGGAUAUGUCAGAAAUAUUUUUAUGAUGCUAGAUUUAAAGUUUCAUGUCAUUCUGACACCCGGAAGGUGAAAAAUAAAAUCGAACUCUAUCUGCUAAAGAUUACAGUUCGGUAUAGCUUUCGGUGACCAAACGUGGUCGAAACUGAAAAGUUGAGAUAUAUUCGGUUUUAUUAAGUUAAACCGAGCCUGGUGUCAAAUUUGAGCGAAAACGGACAUCCAGAAGGGCUCCGUCGGAAUCGUACAGAUUCUGAGCAGGUAACUAAAAGUUGUAAUAGUGCAUAUAAGGGAUUUAAUCCCUUUCUUCUCCCUUCUCCCUCAACCGUGCAACACACCACGCCACACACACACACGCACGCAUACAUGGAGGGAGAGAGAAACCUCCCUUUCUCUCUCUAAAUCUCUCCCAAAAUUGAUGGAUUUGGUGGAGAUUGAAGCUUGGAAGUGAAUCAUCUUCAUCUUCUUCAUCUUCUCCAUGGUUUGGAGCAAGCUUUGAGGUGAGCAUCUUGAGCCCUCUCAUGGUAGAUCUCUAGGAUUAGCUUUGUAUGCUCUAGAGAUGGAUUUAGUAGAAUGCUUAGAUGCUAAUUAGAGGUUUAUUGCUUGAUUCAUGAAGUUAAAUUGUGGAUUUAACAAUAAUGGCAUCUAGGGCUUCAAAAAUGGGGUUUUAUAAAAUGUAUGGGUUUGAUCUCAAUUGACCCUCUGUUAACCUAAUUGCUAGGUAAACGAACGUGUUGGCGAAGUCGGUUCGGCGAUUCGUCGAGCCGUUGUAAAGAUAUUGAAGAAACGGACUAUUUAACUUCGUUUCCGCCUGAAGGGCCGAGGCGACAUCGUAAAAUCGUGAAAAUGGAAUCGGGGGCUCAUGGCAACAAACCGUAGACCUAUAAUUUUCGGAGCCGUGAUUCGACGCACGGUUGGUGCGCAACUGCAAGAUCGGGCCAAACCAGAUGCCGGGUGCCACGGAAGGCUGAUUGCAAGUGACUACAAGCAAUCGGAGAGCGAAUCGAGGUGGAUUGUGCUCACCGAAGCGACUAGGUCACCUCUAUGUCUAAGAGAAAUGUGAAUCCAUGUUGAUGCAUAUAAAUACUAGAUAAUGCAUGUAGAUGAUGUAUGUAAAUAAUGCUAAAUAAUGCAUGUGAGCAUAUUGUAAAGAAUGCAUGUUAAUGACAUAAUGUAAAUAUGCUAGUUAAUACAUGUAUGAUGACGUGAUGAGAAAAUGCUAGAUUAUAUGCAUGUUAACACAUUAUGAAUAUGUUCUAAUUGUUAAAUGCAAGCUCUAGAUGGUAAAUAUAUGAUAGCAUUAUGAGAUCAUGUGAGAUAGACAUGAAUGUUAACAUGUUGUAGAUAAGAUGCAUAUUGGCAUUGUGAGCAUGAUGCUUAGUGGAAUAAAUGCUAGGCGCAUUUUAGAACUCUGAGAUCAUGUUAGGAAGAAUAUGCAUGUUGGCAUCAUAUAAUGCAUGAUAGAUAAAAUGUGGAUAUCUAUUGAACCCGAUGUGGACAAUUAGGAUGUCGAAUAGAUCGAGUGGCACUUAACCUAAUGUAUGAAACAUAGAUUGGACAUGAAUGACAAUGAACCUAGUGUUAUUAAACAUAGAUCGAGUGGCAUCUAACCUAGUCUUAAAGAAUAUAGGUUGAGAAUGAACCUAGAGUUAACUAAAUCUAGGUGUGUGGCAUUAACCUAGUGUCGUGAACAUAGGUUAUGGAUUGAACCUAGAGUUAAAGUAAACCUAGGUUAUGUGAUAGAGGCAUUGAACCUAGAGUCAGUUGGAUUUAGGGUGGAAAGAACACUGGACCUAGAUAGGUCGAUACUAUAGGGUUUAAGACCAACCCUUGAGUUGUGAAAUGGAUUCCGGAAUCCCUAGUAAAGUGGCCGCAAAGGAAGCGGUGGAAAUUGUGGUAAAAGAGAUGGCAAGUGAAUCAUAACUGCAGGUAUGUGUGAUUCUCCUCGCCUGGCAGUGAUUCAAUGGGUAUGUGUGGUUCUCCUCGCCCAUUUAGCUUAUCGAAUGAUGCCGCCUAGAUUGACUUGAACCAUUGCUGGGUAAGAGCGAUGUGGUCGCUGCAAGAUGACUAAGUCACGACUUGAACCAUUGUUGGGUGUGAUGUGAUGAGUUCGCCGCCAGAUGGCUAAGUCAUGACUCGAGUCGUUGUUUGGUUCAAUGCGAUGAGUUCGCCACCAGAUGGUUAAGUCAGAGGUGCGGUAGGCUGUGACGGCAGCCAGGCUGAGGUGCAGCCAUUGCACGGACUAUCCGCGGAUGAUUGACUCGAGGCCGAGUCGGGCGGUUAGCUUGAUUAGGUUAAGGAAAACCCUAUAAGCUAGUAAUAGAGGCAAGAGCUAAGGUAAUAGAGACCUUAGAAGCAAGCGGAACUUGAGUUGUGAACCUAAAGUAGUAGAAACCUUAGAAUUGAAUGACAUGAACUAAAGUUAGUAAAGUGAAUGUAGAAUCAAUAGAUCUACUAGUUGUUUUUACAGUUGCAUAGUUGCAUAAUAUUCAUAAUGCAUAUUGUGAGGCAUGUUAUCUGUUAGUUGUAUAAUUACAUUACGAUAUAUAUAUCUGUAGAUGUUUUUGGACUAACAUGAUUGCAGUGCCUCCUUGGACCUAUUGGUCGAGCUCCUCCCUUGGGUGGCCGUACCCACUGGGAACCAUGGAGUUGGUUCUCACCCCACGUUGUUUUGGGGUGUUACAGGUUCGUACGUGAGCGGCGCGUCGACGCGAGGCAAGGGCGUAGCUCCAUGGAUAGCGCCCUACCCCAGAGACCAGAGAUAGCGGUACCCCGAGUCGGCAUUGCUUAGGGGUAUAGAAAAGGAAAAAGAACACAAUGUAUCAAACUUGUAAAAAUAAAUGAUGUAAUAACUUAAUUGUAUUGGAAGUUGAAUGUAAUGUAAAAUGAAAACUGUGAUGAAUGCUUGUAAUAACAUAGGAUGUGUUAUGUUGUUUGAUACCUUCCUUGUGCAAUCUUGCUUGAAUACUGUACCUGGUUGAAACUUCUUGUACUUGUAUUGAUUGCGACGCCUAGGACGUACAGGGAAAACUCUGUCCGUUCGACGGUCUAUCAACGUGCCCGAACUCGACCAAAUAGGCGGGGCUCGGGGCGUGACAGAUAAAGUGGUAUUAGAGCAUAAAGUAAAGAAUGGGAAAAUGGCUUAGUUGGACCUAGGAGACCCUAGGAUAGUAAACCAUAGGAGAAUAAGGCUCAUAAGAGAUGAGGACUUAUGACUUAUGGCGAAAGGUUAAUUGAUUGGGUUGUGUUGAAACCUCUAUGAUGGAUAUUAGAGAUAGACUUGAGGUGUGGUUUAUUCUCAACCGAGGGUGUUCAUGUUGGGCACGCGACAAUAUGAAACCGAGUGAUUAGAAUAGACGCCCUUGCGUGACUUUCGCUCGAUUUGUGUCAAUGUUAAGUUAUUUCGCACUCGACCUGGAGGGUUGAGAACUAAUCGAGUUGUCGUAUUUCAGGAAGCGAUGGCACCGCAUAGGCGACCUCCGUCUAGAUCGACGCGGGGUGGGACAGGUGAUGUCCCUGAGCAAUCCGAGGCAAGCGGAGACCCGGUGCUCCGCGAGCAAAUGAGUACGCUCAUGGGCGUAGUGCUGUGACAGGAGGAGCAGAUCAAGGAGCUUCAUGAGUUGUUGGCACGACAGCUACGGGGCUGCGCCGGUAGCAGCGCGCCGUGUACCGACAGGAGUUGCGAUGGAUUCGGGGGCAGUGGCCCCUGGUUCUGUGGAAAUGGAGGCGGAAAAAGAGCGGGCUUUGGCGGCCCUUAUGACCUUCAAGAGGUUUGAUCCGCCUGUCUUCGAUCGAGAGAAUGUCGAUCCGUGGAUCGUGGAGAUGUGGAUUGACUCUAUGGAAAUGCUCUUCGAGGAGCUGUACACCUUGGAGCGGGACAAGGUGCCCCUAGACGUGCACUGUUUGAAGUUGUCGGCAAAAGUGUGGUGGAAAGGUAUUAGACAUAAUCGAUCGCCUAGUCUCCCUCCUAUUGCAUAGGAUGAGUUUCAGGGAUUGGUGUUUUCGACUUACUUUCUCGACACUGAAAAGAGAAAGCUUUAGGACAGGUUCAGGAAGUUACGGCAAGGAGACCGCUCUGUGAGAGAAUACGAACGGGAGUUCUCUCGUAUUGUGAAUUGUGUCCCGAAUGUGGUACGGGAUGACAAAGAUAUGGCCAAUUGGUUCCAGCGUGGACUUCGACUAGAGAUUUACAGGAGGGUGCAAAUCUUCAAACUCGCAACCUUCGCGGAGGUGUUGGAUCGAGCGUUGUUGGCAGAGCACGGCGAAGCUUUCGUGCGUGAGAAGCACGAGUCUUCUGAGCAUGAGUGGGGAGGGGUGAGGCCACUGUCGAGCGGUUCGGGUGGACAAUCAAGCUCUAGGUGCCACUUGAAAUCAUCCUCUACCCGGUCCUCCUCAGGAUGCGUGAUUUGUGGUGGUUCCCACUAGUAAAUUUGGAACGAAUCGAUGUCAACGUUCACAAGAACCAAAACCGGAACAACAUUAGACUACUCAGUUGCGCCCUGACAGUAUAAAUUUGCAGCGAGUACUUUUUCUCAUUCUAUCGAACAAAGAGUAAAUGCUAAUUAUAUCGUUCUAUUAUGCCCCGAGAGUGUAAAUUGGAACGAAUCGAUGUCAACGUUAACAAGAACCAAAACCGAAACAACAUUAGACUACUCAGUUGCACCCUAAUAGUAUAAAUUUGCAGCAAGUACUUUUUCUCAUUCUAUCGAACAAAGAGUAAAUGCUAAUUAUAUUGUUCUAUUAUGCCUCGAGAGUGUAAAUUUGGAACGAAUCGAUGUCAACGUUCACAAGAACCAAAAUCGGAACAGCAUUAGACUACUCAGUUGUGCCCCAACAGUAUAAAUUGGCAACGAGUACUCUUUCUCAUUCUAUCGAACAAAGAGUAAAAGCUAAUUAUAUUGUUCUAUUAUGCCCUGAGAGUGUAAAUUUGGAAUGAAUCGAUGUCAAUGUUGUAAGGAAGUGAAUUCUCGAAAUCCGAGAGUUCGACUUCAUCCAGGAUCGACUAAUUGUCGAAUGAGCACCCUUCAGGAAGGCUAAAGAUAUCCAAAACACAAAAAGUGCAUUGGAGUUGAGUCCGCGAGAGCAUAUAGUGCAAAACCUGCACUGGGCUGAACUUGCUCUCGGGGACCGGUCCCUGGCAGGGAGAGACCGGUCCCCGAUUGCUGGGGAUCUUUGAUGCAACCGGUCCCAGGCUGAGGGGACCGGUCCUCGUGUGCGACGCCAGCGAGAAAAGCCAAAAUUUCGCUAAGUCCCGAAAAUUCAGCUCUCGGGAACCGGUCUCUCAAAUAGGAACCGGUCUCCCGAGGACCAGUCUCUCAGGGAGAGACCGGUUCCCGAACGCGUGAUAUCUAGGGAGGCUCUCAGGGACCGGUCCCAGGUCGGGGAGACCGGUCCCUCUAGGUGAAAACUGCCCAGUAAAGGCAGUGCACAGGAUGGAAAGUGGAGAGGUUUUUAUGCAAAAUGGCAUUAAUUAGAUAGUAUAGAGAGAGAGCUCUCUCCCUCUCUCAUUUUCACCCUCCCUCACACUCCCUCUUUAACUCAUUUCUCUUUCUCUCUCUAGAAGGAAAAGAAGGAGAAGGAAAAAGAGGAGAAGAAGAGAAAGAAGAAGAAAAAGAAAAGGAAGGAGAAGAAGAAGGAGAUCAAAUAGGAGCUUUGGACAUCUCCCUCUCCCUCUCCUCUUCUCUUUGGAGCUAGCACAAGAGGUAAGCCCUAACCCUAGCUUUUGGAAACUUAGGGUUUUGGGUUUUGAGUUUUGGAGAGGAGGUCAAAUGGACCUCUUACACCAUUGUUGGUGGAUUAGAGCUAGAGCUAGUAGGGUUCCAAAAUGCAAAUGGCAAGAUGUGAACCCUAGGGCUCCAAAAUGGGGUUUUUGGUAAAGUAUGAGAGUGAUCUCAUUUGAGGCCUUGUAAACCUAAUUGUUAGGUGUCUAAACGCAGGGGCGAAGUCGGAAUUUCGAUUCGUCGAGCGGGAGAAAAGCUAUCGGCAAAAUACGGCCGAUUGAGCAUUGUUUUGGACCAAGGAAGCUGAGACCUCGUCGUAACGUUCGGCGAGAGGCAUUUCUAGAACCUCUACAACGAGAAAAGGUGGGGGGUGCCAUCCCGAAGCCAUCAAACUCCUUUCUAUGUCUUAGAAUUUUAUAUGAUUACAUCUUUUGCAUGUUGCAUUGUAGGAUUGCGUAGUAGUGCCAUUCCUUAUGCUUUCUAAUUGAUAACCUAGUGUACAUGGAACGCUUGGUGACUUAGGUAGGUGAGGAUUGGGUCGAAACAUGGAUCCUAUAGUGCUAGAGAAAAGAGAUGAACACGACGGGUGUUUGGUGACAUAAAAAGUAGGGAAAACUUCAAAAACCCCCCCUGUGGUUUCGUGCUUUCUCACUUUAGUACCCUGUGGUUUAAAACGUAUCAAUUUGCCCCCUUGUGGUUUCGUUUUUCUCUUUUUGUUAUCAAUUUUAUUAUUAUUUUUUUCUUAAAUCAGUGACAAAGUUAAAAUUAAAGGAUACUAAAGUGAAUAUUCGAUAAAUAUAGAUGGUUAUCUGAAGUUUUUUGUAUAUAAUUUAACGAAAUGUUAACGAAAAAGCUUCCGAAAAGAUAAAAAUGAAACCACAGGGGGGCAAAUUGAUACGUUUUAAACCACAGGGUAGUAAAGUGAGAAUGCAUGAAACCACAGGGGGGGUUUUUGAAGUUUUCCCUAAAAAGUAACAUCUAAUGUCUAAAGAACAAACAGGUGGCAUCUAAUGUUUAAAGAACAAACGAGUAGUAUUAAUGUAGUGUACUUGACACUAGAGGUUCUUUAUGAACUCAGGGAUAGAUGGACUCCCUAGUAAAUGACUCGUGAACAUCGAACUUAGUAAAGCUAAGUAGCUAUGCAUGAUGGUCGGAAUAGACAAGUUCCGCGAGAUGUUGACCCUAGCUCUUAGGGUGUCCUCACUUGGAGAGAAUAGAUCUAGCUCACAGUCUGUUAUUCGGGGUGGUAUAGCCAUCCAUAUCCUCACAUGGAGAGGAUUGUCGUCGAGUACUCCGGAGUGUCGGGCGAUUAAGACCACCCGCAGACAGUCCCGGGUCUGGGGGCACAUGGAGCUCCCCACCCAAUGGGAUGGGAAAAGGUGAGGUAAGGGCGAACCCAAGGGUUUCGCCACAGAUUGGGUAAAUGGACAGUUAACAAUGUCAUUGAACAUUAUUAUUCGAACGUGGAUCGAACUUGUUAGCAUGGUAAUAAACCUUUACUAUAUGAUGCAUGCAUCCAUUAUACAUGAUUAUGGGCAUAGUAGCAUAGUUUUCCUUUAUGCCUUUACAGCUUUUAGAUAUUUAUCUAUCUAUCUGUCUACGUGUUGUUACUUGUGCCCACUUGGACCUAGUGGGGAGACCGGCGGGGUCGGCGGUCGAGCCCACUGGGAACUAUGGAAGAUAGUUCUCACCCCACUCUAUUUCCAGUGGUAGGUACAGGUCUACCGAGCGAGGACCGCGGCAAGGGCAUCGCGCCCGAUCAGUGAGACCUAGGUAGUAUAGUAGCUUUUCUUUUUGCAUUAGCACACCUAUGUAUUGAGUGAGAUUCAUGUAGAUGAGGUUGGAGAGCUAUAUAUUUUGAUGAACAAAUGUAUUCAUUUUGGGGAAAAGAUGUACAUGUAAAAAGAUGCAAAACUAUCGUAAUAGUUAGUAAAGUAAUCUCUCUUUAUUUCACUUGUUUUUACUUGUGAAUUACUUGCUCUUAGUUGUUGGCACUGUUUGUGCCCCGUCGAAUGUGUAUGUUUAGAAUCUGAAUUUCUGGGUAAAUUCUUGUACACAUUCCUGUUGUUGAGCCUUGGGCGGGCAGGGGAGGUGCUGUCCGUUCGGCGGUCCGCCCGGCGCGCCCAUAUCGUGCCAAAUUGGUAGUGGUUUCGGGGCGGGGGCGUGACAGUGGUUGGUAUCAGAGCAAUAAGAGAAAGUAAAGAGAGAAAGUCUAAGAUGACCUAGGAGACCCUAGGUUGGUGAGCCCUAAGGUUAUAGGUGCGUGAGCGGAACGUGAACCUGUAACGGUGGCGAAAGUUAAUUCGAUUGGGUCGAAGUUGGUAAUAUGUCUCUAGUUGUGAUUAGAGAUGGAUUCAAGUAGUAUUAGUUCUUGGCUUGAGGUGGUUGUGUCAGCAGCCGACGACAUAAUACCAAGAGUCUAGAACGAGUACACUUGUGUGCUUCCGCCUGAUUUCGUUGUUGAGUCGUUAUGUGUCGUAAAUUCGACGAGGCGAAUGGGUUAAGAUAAUUAACCAAGUAUUUACAUUUCAGGAGCUAAUGGCACCAAGAGGACGCCCGAGCACGAGGUCUACUCCGACACCACUUCCCGAGGUGCCCGAGCAGGCUGAACCGAGCGAGAUGGAUCAGUUGCGGGCGCAAGUGACUGCGUUGACCAAUGUGGUGCAGCGUCAGGAGACUCGAUUCGAGCGGCUCUAGGGUCUUUUGGAGCGGCAGGUUGCAGCGGCGGCUGCGAAGGUGAACGAGGGCGGUGGUCCGCCCGCAUCCUCGACUCAUGUACUCGGAGCGGCAGAGGGUGAGGGUAUAGCGGCGGUUCUGGUGACGGCACGCCCACCGCCAGCGAUCGUACCACAGGCGGCAUCGGGAUCGGCUACACCCGAUGUGACGGCCGAAGAUGUAGAAGGAGAGCGCGCAUUGGUGGCUCUUAUUAAGUUCAAAAAGUUCCAUCCCCCUACCUUUGAGGGUGAGAAGGUGGAGCCGGCGAUGGUCGAGUCUUGAAUCGAUUCGAUGGAGACCCUCUUUGAGGACUUGCGUACCUUGGAGAGGGAUAAGGUGUACCUUGCCACACUGUCACGCCCCGCGACCAACCGCCAAUUUGGACAGGGUCGCGGCGCCGACGACAGACCACCGAACGGACCGGGGUUUCCCCUGUACGCGGACAGAGUCUUCCCUGUACGUUCAAGGCGUCGCAAUCUAAACAAUCAACGAAUGUUCCAAGUAGGAACGGAUAUCAAUCCAAAUUGCAUAAGGAAGUAUCAAAUAUAUAAAACUAAUAGCUAUUACAAGCAUUCACUUAGUACAACUCAGUUACAUUUUACUUCCAAAUUACAAUCUAAUUAUUACAUCAUUUAAUUUACAAUCUUGAUUUCCAUUAUGAGCCUCGUUUCCUAUCCAAAAUCACCACUAGCCAUUUACUAGUACCACUUGGCUCUCUACCUGCUCUAGCAGGCGCUACACUCUCAUCCUGCUAGCAUGCUCGGGUACCUACCGACUCGACCGCUCGGUCCCUACUAUGCAAUGUAAUAAUCGCAGCAACUGACCAAUGAUGAAUGCAUGCUAUGCUUUAACUUGAGAUCAUGCAAAAAUAUGCUUGCUCAAUAGCUCAUACCUGCCACGACGUCGUCAGCACGGCAGGCCCCGCACCUCGGGUCGCUUAUCCAUGGCCACCCGGCGCUCGUCGCGAACCCUCUGGUUGCAUCACUCUCAACGGCCGCUCCCCCGACCAAGCCGCAGGUGGCACACCCGCCGGCUGUCCCAAGGAAGAAUGGGCCGUCGCCAGUGUCAAGGCCCGGUUAUCACCCUGCGGACACUCGUCACGCACAUGGCCCGGCAGCCCACACUUGAAGCAUUUGCCCUCUCGCUGCUCACACUGUUGUGGGAAAUGAGGGCCCCCACAAAUCACACAUCUCACCGAGGACCGAAUGUGAUGCGUCCCCGGAGCUCUAGAUCGAGAGCGCGUCUUCACUGAGGUCUGCUGGGAACUCGACUGACCAUCAUGUCCACUCACUGGGCGUCCUUUCCCUCUUUCCUUGUAAUGCUCAUCGCACUUCUCCCGCAGGAAUGCAUUGCCUUGUUCUAUCCACAAGGCCCGAUCCAGGACUUCAACGAAAGUUUGCAACAUAAGUACCUGCACUGCCAGGUACAAGUCCGGCCGAAGCCCCCGCACGAAGCAGUCAGCCUUGUUCUCGUCAUCCCGCACCACGUUCGGGACACAAUGCACGAUACGGGAAAAUUCCCGCUCGUAUUGCCUAACCGUGCGACUUCCCUGCCGUAGCUUAAGAAACCUCUCCUUAAGUUUUCGCUUCUCACUAUCGGGGAAAUAUGCAGAAAAUAUCAUUCCCCGAAACUCUUCCCAAGUCAUAGGAGGGAGACUAGGUAGUCGAUCUUGCUUGACGCCUUUCCACCACACCUUCGCCGACUGUUUGAGAUAAUGCGCGGCUAGGUUUACCUUGUCUGGCUCCAACGUGUACAGAUCCUCAAAGAGUGUUUCCAUGGAAUCGAUCCACAUCUCAACGACCCACGGAUCUAUAUCUUCUCCAUCGAAGGUAGGCGGAUCAAAUUUCUUGAAAGUCAUGAGGGCGCUAAAGCUCGUUCCCUUUCCGCCGCAACCUCUGGGCUAACAAGGGCCGGGUCACCCGCCCCCAACGGAAACGUCUCCAUUGAAAUUCCCGGCUGUCCUCGACCAGCCGCGACUGGUGCUGCCACCAGUCGAUCCACAGUUUUUUGGAGUCGUUCCAUUCGCUCCUCUUGGCGCAUAGCAGCCUCCUGCUGCAGUUGCACCACCUCCGCUUGUUGCCGCAUCACUCCAAUGAGUGUGGCCAAUUGAUCGCGAAGCUCCGAGUCUCCCCUCGCAUCGGUUUGCUUAAGGGCGCCACUUGUCCCCUCCCGCGCCGAUCUGGACGAAGAUCGCCUACGCGGUGCCAUCGUUUCCUGAAACAGGACAACUCGAUUAGUUCUCGACCGACUCGGGUCGAACACGUGACCAUCAACACGGCUCAAAAGCCAAUCAGGCGAAAGUCGAACAAGGACGUCUAUUCUCGUCUCUCGGCUUUGUGUUGUGCGUGCCCAACAUAAACACACUCGGUCGAGAAUAAACCAUAUCUUAAGUCUACCUCUAAUAUCCGUCUUAGAGGUUACGACACAACCCAAUCCAUUACCUUUCGCCACAAAUCACAAGUCCUCGUCUCUCACGAGCCUUAUUCUCCUAUGGUUUCACUAUCCUAGGGUCUCCUAGGUCAUCUAAACCAUUUUUCCAUUUUCUACUUUAUGCUCUGAUACCACUUUAUCUGUCACGCUCCGCGACCAACCGCCAAUUUGGACAGGGUCGCAGCGCCGACGACAGACCGCCGAACGGACCAGGGUUUCCCCUGUACGCGGACAGAGUCUCCCCUGUACGUUCAAGGCGUCGCAAUCCAAACAAUCAACGAAUGUUCCAAGUAGGAACGGAUAUCAAUCCAGAUUGCAUAAGGAAGUAUCAAAAGUAUCAAAUACAUAAAACUAAUAGCUAUUACAAGCAUUCACUUAGUACAACUCAGUUGUAUUUUACUUCCAAAUUACAAUCUAAUUAUUACAUCAUUUUAUUUACAAGUUUGAUACAUUUUGAUUCUAGCCUUCUAGUCCCCUAAGCUAGACUACCUCAGGGUACUACUACCUCGGUCUCUGUGGUAGGGCGCUAUCUACUGUGCUACGCCCUCGCCUCGCGCCACAGCGCUGCACACGUACAAUCUGAAAACACCCCAAAACCACGUGGGGUGAGAACCAACUCCAUGGUUCCCAGUAGGUACGGCCACCCAAGGGAAAAGCUCGACCGAUAGGUCCGAGGAGGCACUGCAAUAUGUUAGUUCAACAAUAUACAACAGAUAUAUAUAUUCAAUUGAAAUACAUGCCAUGCCUCACGAUAUGCGAUAUGAAAGUCAUGCAACUCUAUGCAACAACUGGUAGAUCAUUAGAUUCUACAUUUACUUGGCUACUCUUAGCUCAUAACUUUACUCUAAGGUUUCUACUACCUUAGGUUCACACUCGAGUCCCCUGGCUCCUAAGGUCUCUAUUACCUUAGCUCAAGCCUCUAUCUCUAGCUCAUAAGGGUUCCUCUACCCUAUCGAAGCUAACCACCUGACUCGGCUUCGAGUCAAUCAUCCGCGGAUAGCCCGCGCACUGGCUGCUCAUCAGCCUACCGCUCUCAGCCCCCUAGCGGCGAAGUUGUCGCACACGCUAGGCCCGGCUCAAGUCGCACGACUUGACCAUCUGGCGGCGAUCGCGUUGCUCUUACCCAGUGUGAGCUCGAGUCCUGACACGCCUCUGGCGGCGAACGGAUCGCACCACACCCAACAACGGUACAUGUCAAACUCAGCCACCUGGAGGCUCCCGCGUCGUACUUACCCAGCAUAGAUUCAGUCUGCUCUGGCGGUCUGAUCCUCAAAUGGCUUAACCAUCCUGGCGGCGAAAUCGUCACACAAACGCCACGGCAAUGGUUCAAGCCCCGGGCGGUGAUCGCAGUCACCCCCAAUCUACCCACAAUACCAAGCUCGGCUGCGAAGUCGUCGCACACACGCCCUAGCUUGUACUAGGGACAUCAAAAGUCCUGGGAUCCCGAAAUCCACUUUCCACAUGUCGAGGGUUCAUAAACCAGCCUAUAUCAUCGACCUAGCUCACCCUAGUGGGUAUACCACUAUACUCAUCAACCUAGGUUCCAAGACUCUAGGUUCUAUGUCCACGUCACUUAACCUAGUUACACUUGCUAGGUUCAUGUCAUCUUUGUCUAGAUGUCCACUUCUAGGUUUAUUAGUUCGACCUAGGUUCACUAACACUAGGUUCGAUGCCACACACCUAGAUUGUUCGACUCUAGGUUUACUAUUCAAUCUAUGUUCUUUAACACUAGGUUAGAUGCCACUCGAUCUACCUGACAACCUAGUUGUCCAAUCAACUCUACUCACACUAGAGUUAUUAACUCAUGCUUUCUACGUGGCAUUCACUCUAUGCAUCUUUGAUCAUCAUGCAUUCUAUUUAGCAUUUCCAUCUAUGCACUACUAUUAGUAUGCAUUCUUUACAUUAGCUAGCAUUAUUUACAUGUCAUGCUCUCAUGCUUGCUACUUACUAUGCGUUCAUUACUUAGCCUUUACUUUAUGCAUUAUCAUUCAUCAUGCAUUUCUUGUCCUUGUCUACAUGCACAUGCAUCAACAUGGAGAUACAUUGCUAAGACAUAAAAGGGCGACCUAGUCGCUUCGGUAAGCACAACCCACCUUAGCUAGCUUUUCCGAUUGCUCGUCGACACUUGCAAUCGGCCUCCCGCGGCACUCGGCACCCGUUUGGGCCCGAUCUCACAGUUGCUUUCCACGAGCACGCCGCUUCGCCGUUUCAAGUGCUAGCGAUCUUCGCCUUGCCGCUACGGUGCUCGGAACCCGAUUUCACGAUUUAUGGACGUCGCCUCGGCCUCCCAAGCGGAAAUGAAGCUCCGAGCGCCCGUUUUUUCAAUAUCUUCGCAACGGCUUGCCGGAUUGCCGAACCGACUUCGCCAACGUGUUUCGUUACCUACCAAUUAGGUUUACGAAGGGUCAAAUGAGAUCAAACUCAUCUAUUUACAAACACCCUAUUUGGAUGCCCUAGAAUGCCAUCACUAGCAAAUCCACCGAAUCGAUCUAGGAUUUGGGUAUAAUCCAUCAAAAUAGCAUGCUAGGGUACCAAACAAACCAUUUCUAGGGUUUAAAAACCCAUCUACAAAAAUCUACCAUGAGAGGGCUUGGAAGCUUACCUCUCAAAGAGCUCCAUGGAGAGAAGAAGAUGAAGAUGAGGAUGAGGAAGAGGAUCUCCUCCUUGGUCCUCUUCUUCUUUUCCUUUCCUUUCUCUUUUUCUUCUUCUCUUCUCUUUUCUCUUUCCUUCUCUUUUUCUUCCUUUCCCCCUUCGCACGAUCAGAGGGAGAGAGAGAGGCUGAGGGAGUGAGAGAGAGAGGAAAAGAUCUCUCUCUAAUACUCUCUCUCAUUUUGUAACAAUAUCCCCAAAGGCCCCUCAACUUUUCGCCUCUUACACAGCCCUCACUGGGCAUUCUGCGCGCUAAGGGACCGGUCUCCCCGACCAGGGACCGGUCCCCGGGGCCUCCCCUCGCGGGCACGCGUUCGGGAACCGGUCCCUCCCUGAGAGACCGGUCCUCUGGAGACCGGUUCCUCUCAGAGAGACCGGUUCCCGAGAGCUGAACUUUCGGGACUUAGCCGAUUUUCGGCUCUUCUCACUGGUGUCGCAGGCUGGGACCGGUCCCUCCUCUGCCAGGGACCGGUUGCAUCAGCAACCCCGCAGCCUUCAGCUGAUGGGACCGGUCUCUCACCUCCAGAGACCGGUCCUCGAGAGCAACCUUAGCCCAAAAAUGCAGAUUGCAUUAUUUGCUAUCGCGGACUCCAUUCCAAUGCACUUCUUGGGUUUCGUGCAUCAUUAGCUUUUCCAAAGCUUAUCCAUUCGACCCUUAGUCGAUUCUAGACAAGGUGCAACCCUCGGAUUUCGAGAGUUCACAUUGUUACACACACACUGUCUGGAGAAAGCGGCAAAGGUAUGGUGGAAGCGCGUGAAGCGAGAUCGGCCUUCCGAUCUCCUGCCGAUGUUGUGGGAGGAAUUCAAGCGGGAGAUGUUCGCCAACUACUUCCCCGAUAUGCUGAAGCGGAAGCUCAAGGAGAAGUUCCGCAAGUUAGAGCAAGGGGACCGCUCAGUGCCGGAGUAUGAACAAGAGUUCUCCCACAUCAUUGAUUGUGUCCCGGACGUAGUGAAGGAUGAUCGGGACCGGGCCGAUUGGUUCUUGCGAGGACUUCGGCCGGGGAUUUAUAAGGCCGUGCAGAUACUCAAGCUCACGACCUUUGCGGAGGUCUUCGACCGAGCACUCUGGGCGGAGCACGGAGACGCCCAUUGUAAGGAAGUGAAUUCUCGAAACUCGAGGAUUAGACUUCGGCCAGAAUCGACUGUUCGUCGAGUGUGUACGCUUCGGGAAGUCCGAAGGCGAUUAUAAUGCAUAAAGUGCAUUAAAGAAGGGUCCACGGGAGCACCAGUGCAAAAUCUGCACUGGAGCAGAAAUGCUCUCGGGGACCGGUCCCUGGUAGGGAGGGACCGGUCCCAUCAGGCUGGGUUGCGGAGGUCUCUGAUGAGACCGGUCCCUGAUGGGCAGGGACCGGUUCCCGAACGUUGGCCUGGCGAGACUUAGCCAAAUUUGUCUAAGUCCCGAGAAUGCAGCUCUCGGGAACCGGUCUCUCGGACAAGGACGACCGGUCUCUCAGGCAAGGACUGGUUCCCGAACACGAAAAUCCCUCUGCUCGAAAUGGCAGCCUUCGGGGACCGGUCAUCCCGAGCUGGGACCGGUCCCUCACUGCGAAAAUGCCGAGGGAGGGCUGAUCAUAAAGGUAAAAAGUUGAGGGGGCUAUUUGCAAAAUAGCCUUUAUUAGAGGUGGGGGACCCCUCUCUCUCCCUCUCAGCUGCCCUUUCUCUCUCUCUUUCACAUUCUUUCCCUCUCUCUCUCUCUCUAGGAAAGAAGAAGAAGAAGAAGAAGGAAAAGAAAAGAAAGAGAAGAAGAAGAAGAAGAAGUAGAAGGAGAAGUCAGAGAAGAAGAAGAAGAAGAAGGUCUUCUUCCCUCUCUCCUUCCACCUAGGGCAAGCUUGGAGCUUGGCUUAGAGGUAAGCUCCCAACCCAUCAAUGGUAGAUUUCUUGGGUUAGGGUUUUAUUGCUUAGAAUUGGUUCAAAUGGAACCUAUUAGGGAUAAAUAGAAGGUCCGAGCUCGAAAUCGAAGCUCGCACCGCGGAUUUCUCCGUUGUUGAGACCUAGGGCUUAGAAUUGGGAUUUUGGCAAAUCUAGGGUUUUGAUCUAAUUAGUUGGGUCGCUAACCUAAUUGCUAGGUCUAUGAACGCGUCGGCGAAGACGGUUUGCCGAUCCGACGAGCGGGUGCGGAGAAAUCGCCGAAUCGGGUACUCGAGGGCUUGCUUCGCCCCGAGGAGUUGAAGCGGCGUGCAACGACCGCAGCGUCAACUUUUCUACCAUCGCGACAUCGCCAAGAGGUGGGUGGUGUCCAUCCCGAAGCAAUCGGGCUCCCUCCUAUGUCUUAGUAUAUUUGAUCUUGCAUCUUGUAUUAUUGCAUUAUAGGAUUAGUAUGCAUUGCCUUUCCUUAUGUUUUUCCUUCAUGGUAUCGUAGCGUACAUCGGAUAAUUGAUAUAUUGGAUUGAUAAGGAUUGGGUCGAGAUUGUGAAUCCUAUGAUGUAGAGAAAAUGAUGAACUAUGAACGAGUGGCAUCUAGUUAAUAGUAAACUAUGAACGAGUGGCAUCUAGUCGAUAGCGGACAAACGGACAAUCUAGUUAAUAGUGUAUGUGACACCUAUGGACUAUAUGAUGAUUGUGACUCUAGAGGACAGGGUAUCCUCGAGCUUAGAGGAUUGGAUCAUGCUCACGGUCUGUUAAAUCUUGUGAUGGAAGCCCCACACAAGUAGUGCGCUCCGGAUGUUGGUCACGCCAGGGAUUGCCUAUAUGGCCCCGCCAGACGGUCUCGGGUCCGUAGUGUGAGUUGAUUCUCCCUACGUGUCGAGAUGGCUAGUGAGCUGUAGGCGAGCCUUCGGGUAAGCCAUGAGAUUAAUGAACAAGUAAAUGAGGUUAAUGAACGAGUGAAUAGCUUCACCCUUGGACAUGAUAACAGGUUAGUUGUUUACCUAUUUCUUGUACAUGCAUUCAUAUAUUAUGAUUGGGCAUAGUAGCAUAGCUUCAUUUCCGUCAUUUACAGCUUUUCUUGUUAUCUAUCUAUUGGUAUAUCUACUUGUGCCCGCUUGGACCUAGUGGGGAGAUCGGCGGAGUCGGCGGCCGAACCCACUGGGAACUAAGGAAGUUAGUUCUCACCCCCAUUUUACCACAGGUUCUAGUUCGGGUGUCCCCGGUGAGCGUGAGGAUCGCGGUAAGGGCCCGGCGUUUUAGUCGCAUUAGCUACCUCCUUUUGUAUUAGCCAUCACCCUUUUCUUUUAUAUUUGAGAGUAGAUGAUGUAUAGGGUGAGGUUCGAGUGAUUGUACUUAUAUUUUGGAAGAAUGUAAAAGAUGUAAUUGAAUGUAUAUUAUGUCGAAUGAAUGUAAUAGAUAGCUCUUCUCUCUCUUUAUGUACUUGUAUAUGUUUUAUACUUGUAUCUUGCUCUCGUCUUGUAGCACUGGUGGUGCUUCUUGAUCGUGUAUUUAUGAAUUGAUUCCUGGGUAAAUUCUUAUGCAAGAUAUAUUCUUACUCAGUACGUUAAACUGAGCCUGUCUGUCAAAUAUGAGCUCAAACGGACAUUCAGAAGGGCUCCAACUGUUCCGAACUGCUAAAACUGUCUGGAGUGAAUAGUGUUAAGGGGCUAUAAGUGUAUAAGAAGCUGAUGCUUCUUUUUCCUCUCCUUCAGCCCGAGCACACACCACACACGCACACGACACACAUACACACGCGUGGAAAGGAAAAGAGAAAACCCCCCCUUUCUCUCUCUAAAUCUCUCCCAAAAAGAGAGGGUUUUGGUGGAGAUUGAAGCUCAAAGGUGGAUUUUCAUCCCCAUUGGCUUCUUCCUCUCCAUUGGAGCAAGCUUUGAAGGUAAGCUUUGAUGCCCUUUAAUGGUAUCUCUUUGUAGUUUGGGUUUUAAGCUUCAAGAAUGGAUUUAGAGCUAAUUUAGCAUGCUAAAGAGAUGAUUGUUGCUUAAAUCAUGGAUCGAUUUAAUAAUUUCUUGUCUAGUUGUAAACUAGGGCUUGAAAUGAGCUUUUUGAACCCUCUCAUGGUAGAUCUUUAAAGCUUCAUUUAUAAUCCAUAGAAAUGGUUUAUUUGGGAUCCUAGCAUGCUAAAUAAAGGAUAAAUGCUAGAAUCUAGGAUCAAUUUAAUUAAUUCUUGCAAUAGAUGAAGCCUAGGGUUCAAAAUGCAAUUUUUGGAAAUAUGAUGGUUUGAUCUAAAUUGACCUCUCUCUAACCUAAUUGCUAGGUAAACGAACGCGUUGGCGAAGUCGGUUCGGCGAUUCGUCGAGCCGUUACAAAGUUAUUAAAGAAACGGAUGUUUAGGCUUCGGGUCCGCCGGGAGGGCCAAGACAACGUCAUAAAAUCGUGGAAAUGGAUUUGGAGCACCGUGGCACAUAACCGAAGACCUUUAAUUUUCGAAUCGUGGAUCAGAGGCCGUUCGGGUGGUCGCGCGAAAGAUUGUGCCAAACCAGGUGCCGGGUGCCGCGGGAGGCCGAUUGCAAGUGUCGACAAGCAAUCGGAACGCGAAUCGAGGUGGGUUGUGCUUACCGAAGCGACUAGGUCGCCUUUAUGUCUAAGCGAAUUAAGAAUUCUUGUUGAUGCAUAUAGCUAAUGCUAAGUGAUGUAAUGUAGAAGUGCUAACUAGAAUGUAUAAUGAGCAAGUUAAAUAAUGCAUGUAAUAGUAUGAUGCAAAUGCUAAGUAGAUGCAUAUAAAUGAUAUGUGAGAUUAUAAAUGCAUGAUUAGCAUUGUGAGAUUAUAAAUGCAUGCUUAGCAUUGUGAGAUUAUAUAUGCAUAUGAACUUGGUUGAUAACUCUAAGUUGAUUAGAGAAAUAAAAUUGGAAAAGAGAAAUUGAUAACUCUAGAAUGCUUAAUUGGACAAUUAGCAUGUGAACUAAUCGAGUGGCAUCUAAUUUAGUGUUAAAGAACAUAGGUCGUGAGUAGAUGUAGCACACUAGACCUUUGCAAAUUGCGAGGUUCGAGUGUUCGAUUUGUAUUCUGAACUUUUCCACACUUGGUGGAGGGCCGUCGAUGGUAUACUGGCCUAAAAGUUCGAUCUCGAGAAUAUUGGCAGAGUCCUGAGAGUUUUUACUCUCGGGGACCGGUCCCUGAUAGGAGAGACCGGUCCCCCAGUGAACAGUGCUGCGCAGCCGGCGAGGCAACCGGUCCCUGGCAGUCGAGACCGGUCCCCGAGCGCGUCUGCGCGGGGAGAGACCGGUCCCGCGCAGGGAGAGACCGGUUCCCGAACGUUGGAUCUUUUGGAGAGAUCAAACCUAACCCCUACUUGGGGUUUUUUGAGCUUGCGUUUGCGGGCUUCUCUGAGCGUUGGUUAGCUUGUAAUCCCCAUUUGUUACUUGUUUUCUAAGGUUUUAGAUGAAACCUAGGAUUUUGGGAGUUUGAGGGUUUAUUUUGGGUUUUGGAUUGAGGCGUUAUGAGACCUAAUUGAUGGUGUUUGACUUUUAUUAGCGGUGAUUGGAAGACUCUACCUUCCAUUUUUGAGGAUUUAGAGAGGGUUUCCAGCUUGAGUGAGUUUUACUCAAACUCUAACUUGAGGAGCUUGAAUAUUUGAGCUAUUCGCUCUUCGUUCUUUUGGGCUGACCCUAUUUGAUCUAUCUAGGUAUAGGGAGCUUGUGGCAUUAUCUUCUUUCGCGCGAAACGAGGAGUCGAUUAUUCGGUGGGUUUGACUAUCAUGAAAAUGGGGCAAAAUGGCCCUAUGCCUUCUAAACUUUUUGUAAAGUAUUUUCGAAUGCAAAUCAUGUAACAUGAUUUAUAUGAAUUUUAGAAACACCUAACUUGCAUGCUUUCAUUGUAUCAGUAAAAAUUGUACCCCGUAUAGUAGAGCUAUAUGUGUAGGGGAAAUUGCCAUGCGUUGUGGUAGUGCUGUUUGGCAAGUUGAGAACGUGGACUCCAGCAAGAAUGAUAGUGAACUAUGCCAUCAAUGAAACAUGUUAAUGCAUGCUUGGGACUCGUGUUGAACAAAAGGGUCAUAAAGAGCACUGGAAUUAGGUAAUAUAAAAUUGCACAACUUAGAGAAUGAUGAUAGGCAUUGUAUAUGUGCCUAUAUUCCAUGGGGGGGUUAGAGACAGUGAUGACAUAGGAUAGCGUUGAGAACGUUGACAGCAUUCCGGGUUAUUUAACAGCGAGGACUUGGUACAUGCGACAGAUUGUUUGACUACUGCACUCUCUCGCUCUCUCGCACAUGAUUUGGGGAUCGAUCCCUACCAAGCCGGCAAUCCGGCAGAUGGCCAUCGCGAUACAUAUUCGGCCGUGCCGGGAUUGGCCCGCAAGUGGCAUGGCCGUGGGCCUCAGGCGUCAUUCCGAGGGUUGGGGGAUGUUGACUACCAGGAGCCAUUAGCUCGCGCACCGGCCAGAAGCUACGGGGGGUCUCAGGGCCAUAGAGCACUUCGGGUGGGUCUCUCCAUAUGACUUUAUAUACCCAUUAUGACAUGUGGACAGAUGGGACUUAGUGUGACACUUGGACAUUUGACUAAAAUAGAAACAAGGACGUUACUAUUCUCAACUUUGCGAACAUUCAUAAUAGUUGGAGAUUUAUUCAUGAUAGUUUUUCAUAGCUCAUUGCAUUAUUUAUGCUAAGUGAAAGAUAUCAGUUGUAAAGCUACAUUUACUGACCUAUUCAGCUUUUUCUAAUUUAUAGUCACUAACUCUUUUGUAGCUUUGGGCUGAUACUUAUCUUUUCACUCAUCGUCGUAUUUUGCUUGCUGAGGAUCCCCAUUAUCAUCGUGCAUUCCUGAAUAGUAAUUGUUUCACUGGGAACUAUUUUAUUUAGUUCUCACGCUCCCUGUUUUAUGGUUUACCUUUCAGAGGCUCGGCACCGGACGGAGGCCGGAUCCGCAAGGGGCAUCGGUAGCUUAUAGCGGGAGCGGGUACUUGCCUAUGCUUGUUUAUCUUCUUUUGUAGUUGAGAGAGUGAGGUUUUGUAUCCUGUAUAGAGACACUGGGUAUCACCUAUAGAGUUUGUAUUUGAUUUCCUAUGUGUAUUUACUUAUGUCUUAUUAGAUGGAUAUUACAGUUUAAUCCUCAUCUUGGUUGUAGAUUUAGACAUUGAUUAAGCUCUGAUUAUCCUAGAUGUCAUUCGUUAUAUUAUUGCUUGAUUAUUGUUGUUUUCAGACGCUUUUGUUGGUAGACAUGGCGGGUAUGGCACGCGCCGGCGGGCUCUCGCUGAUGGUCCCGGGGCGUACAUUAUCAAAGAUCUGUGAGGAUUCCAGAUCCACUUCACAGGUCGAGGGUCCAUACAACCUAUGUUGUCGACCUAAAAUAUUCCUAGUGGUUGCUCUACACUUAACUCAAACAACCUAGGUUCAGAGCACUCUAGGUUAACGUAUAUCCACAACGAGUUAUAAAUCUAGGUUAUACGAUAUGUCACAAACCUAAGGUUAUAACUCCUAGGUUCACUAUAUCACAAACCUAGGUUAUUAAAUCUAGUUUCUAUCCAUCAAAUGUCCGACCUAUUUUAUUAACACUAGGUAAGAUGCCACUACUAUCAUUUGAUUCUAGUCUUUGUCACGCCCCGGACCUUAGCGAGAGCCGCCCGGGUCCCAGACUCGCCAUACGUCUAAAACAUUAUAAGGCCGUCUAAAAAACAAUAUAAAAGUAAUAGAUAAAAGCAAACUAGAAGUGAUCAGAGCCAUUUGAUAUAAUGUCUAAAUGCUACAAGCAAGGGAUAAGGAAAAACUGCUAAAUCCACUAAAUAAGACAUAAAGUGAUAGCAAAAUUCCCAGAUACAAGUGCUACAUAGUAGAUUACAUAGGUGGUCUUACACGCAGGAUUACAAAGCCUUCACUCUCUCAACUGACAAAAGAAAGGUAAACCCUAUGCAAAGUUACCGUCCUCGCUAGCUACUAAGCGAUCCCUUGCCGCGAUGCCUGCCUCCGCAGUGCGAAAGGUUGAAAAGUAAACCAUAAAACGGGCGUGAGAACUAUUACAAAUAGUUCCCAGAUGCGGCAAUGUUACUGACUUCAGUGAGCACACGAGGCCCAAAGCUACAAGAUGGUCAAUGACAAUAAAGUAGAAGGAAAGGUAAGUAAAAAAUGUAACUUUACUACAGACAUGAUAUCUCUACUAGCAUAAUUAGCAUAAGUAUGAACAACUAUCCAUGAGUAAAGUCUCCAACUUAUCAAUGUCCAAUCAUACAAUAGUAAGUUCGUUGUUUACUAUUCUAUCAAUGUCCAAGUAAUUACUCUAAAUCAAUAUCUGUCCACAUGUCAUAAUGAAUACUCAAGUUCAAAAUACUGACAGAGACCCACGCGAAGGCUGUUCUAUGGCCCUGCAGACCCAACCCCUCUUAGGCUAUGCUGGCCGUGCCGAGCCAAUAAUGGCCCGGGUGGUAGUCAUAUCCGCCACCCUUAGGAAUGAGGCCUGGCCACGGCAAUCCCUUCGGCGCUCAAUCGCGCGACGAGCGAUUAUGAAUCGCACGAUGGCUAUUCCGAAAGUGUCGGCUCUGUAGGAGACGACGCGUCACGAAGCAUGUGGAUGAAUGAGCAUAAUGGCAAGUAGUCAAACGAUCUGUCACAAGUACAAUCCUCAUGGUCUAUAAAUGGACAUAUGUACCAAUUCUCAUAGGCCAUCCUUAUGUCAUUAUGCUCUAAUGGAAUAUAGCAAAUGUGUAGUGGCUUCAAAUGAUCUCUACUUGCAGUUUUCAUAGUUACAGUUUCAAGCGGCACCCUGGUAUGACACUCUUGUUCUCUAUGUCAAAAGCAUGGCACUAUGUUCCAAUACAUAUUUCAGGUCAUAAUCCUCAAUAAGAGAUGUAUCUUUCAACUGCAAAAGUAAUACACCUUUUCUGUAUGCAUGCAUUCUAUCAUAUAGCGUCUACUAUAUAGUGAAAUUUUAUAAUCACCAAGCGUAUGCAUUUUAAUGUGCUCUAAAAUUCAUAUAUUCCAUUUAGCAUAGAAAUGAAUUUAAAAAUAUUUUACAACAAGGUAGAAAGAGCAUAGGGCGCCAUUUCGCCCAUUUCCGACGAAGCGAAAUCCGCGUCGAAUAAGAAGCUUUGUCGUUUGCCACGACGAAAGGCGAUCCACCGCCUCCUAUACCCUAAAGGUAUGGAAAACAGUGUCAUUAGUCGAACGGAAACGAGCGAUAAGCUCAAUCAUUAAGCUCUCAAGCUAUAGGACGUUGGAAAACUCACUCAAGUGAAACCCUUCACUUAACUCAAAUGGGGAGGUAGAGGUUUACAAUCUAAACCUAUAUCAAAGGUUCCAGCGAUUCAAAUUGAGGAUCAAGAAGCCUCAAAAAUCAAGAAUCCCCAAAUUUAAGCCAAAAUCCAAAACUCUAGGGUUUAGACAGCAAAAAAGCCAAAAUUAAGAUCUAGGAGAAGGAACCUUGCACUGUACUCUAGGAUGCUCCAAUCCAAGCCUCAAAAUUUCUAGGGUUAAAAUUGAUCCACAAACUCCAAAGCAAGCUCCAAUCACUCCAAAGGCUGAGAAAUGAGGAAGAAGAUGCGUGCUUCCAAGGCCUCCAAGAAGCCUUCUCCUCUUCUUCUCCUUCUUCUCUUCCUUCUCUCUCUAGAAGUGUAGGAGAGUGUCGGGUAGAGAAAAUGAAGUGAGAGGGGAGGAGAGGCGCCACUAUAGCUCUAAGGUAACAAAAUCACUUAGGCCCUAAAAAUCCAUCUGCUUGACUACCGGUCGGGCAGUUUUCGCCCAGAGGGACCGGCUGUCCCCGACCUCGGGACCAGUCUCUCAAGCCUGCCCCGAAGAUCAACCGUUCUGGCGAACGAGUCUUCCUGCGCGGGGACCGUCUGCUCCCAGCUGCAGACGGGUCGGCGACCCGUAAUCCGACUGCCAGGACCGGUUGCCUCGCGGCUGCGCAGCAGCUGUUACUGCGAGGGACGGACUCGCUAAUCAGAGGCCGGUCCACCCGCAGAGUAGAAAACUCUCAGGACUUGCCAAGAAUUCUCGAGAUCGAACAAUUUCUAGGCCAAGUAUACAUCGACGGCCAUCACCAAGUGUGAAAAGUUCGGAAUACAAAAUCGAAACACUUGAACUCGCAAUUGCAAAGUCCAUGUGUGCUAACAUUCACCCCUCCGAAAAAGGAAUUUCGUCGCGAAACUCGAAACAAAAGCAUUACCUCAAGGCUCCAUCUGAAAGAUGCAGAUAGCGCUCCUGAUGGACGCACUCUCUAGUCCAAUUGGCUCGCGCUCUGCUGUGGUAUGCCUCAAGAACCUUCACAUCAGAAUAUCACGAUUCCGAGCUUUUUCACCUCGCGAGCAAAAUUCUUCACGGGUUGCUCCUCGUAAGCUCAGAUUCCUCGCGAGCCUCACUGGUAUAGUUCCCAAUUAAUGAGCUGAUCAUGAAUGCCUCAUCCGAAGGGAGAUACUGAAAGACGUUGCUGCACCGGAAUAGUUCCGGUGGAGGCGCGGGCGAAAAAAAGCAAUCGAUAGCUACCGGACCUACACGCUCAAGAUCUUAUUACGGCUCCAAUGAACGGCGGGCUCAAAUUUCCCAGAACCCCGAAUCUCUUAUGAUCCUUAGUCGGCGAGACUUCAGAAACCAUGCGUCUCAAACUGAACUCCACUCUCGCCGUAGUCGAUCGGCGUAGUUCUCUGUCUACUCUGCGCCGUCAAAGUCGCUCACGAGCAUUACGAACCGUUGUCCUUAGGCUUCUGGGCUAAUGGGGGCCUAAAGCCAAACUCUCGAAACUUCGCUCCAAUGAAGCGGCCGUCUACACGUGUCCGCAGUAAAGCUGCUUCGGAAGGGCCGCCUUCUUGAUGCUUUGCUUGAUAACUGUUGUUGUCAGCAAACUCGCCAUAGGUUAGAUGACUGCGACCAUCCUCCCUGGAAGUCUAUCACGCAUGCUCGAGCAUAUCUCUAAGGUCUGUAAUAGGCGUGCGACGUGUCUACACUCUGCGGAGUGGAAAUGCUGUAAUGAAUCCAAUCGAGUGCUAAGGUCCUGUAGACUCCAAUCCAGAAGGUGAGACACGAAGCGCGGUUCGCGGAUCAGAUACAAUCGAUGUAGCACUCCAUGACGUCGCCAAUCUCAUCAAUGUAACUGUCGAGCUUUCUCUCGGUCCAAGUCGUAAGAAAUUAGGUAUGAAGUGCGCCCGACUUCGGUCAAACCUAUCACGAUCACCCAAAUAGGCGUCAUGCCCUCGCCUGUAGACGCGGCAAUUCCUGUCACAAAGUCUAUGGUGUCUUCUCCAUUCUUCAACACAGGAAUAAGUGCACUCUGAAGUUUUCGACUUUUUGAUUCUUCGUGCUCGCUUUUACUUGUUGCCAAUGUUUAGACAACGAGGCUACAAAGUCGCCAAUGUCUUUUUGAUUUUUAGAGCGAACUUUAUUUUGUACUCUCGGUGGACCUCACGAUGUUAUAGAUACAGCGCUCGGUUUGAAGAAUAUCCUCUUUAAUCCCAAGGCCGGCGGGUAUACAUAAUGUUUUCGCCACAGAAGGUUAUCAAUCCUUUGUCAAAAGAAUCGCCGCGUGCCCAUCAACAUUUUACCUCGAAUCUUUUGCAUCUUUUUUUUACUUUUCAUUAAUUCUAUCAAAGAGUUUUUUGAACACUACCAAGUGUCAUCAUCGUCUUUUUGGUCAGGAGUCACACCCUCCAACUCCUUUUAUUUUAUCAACUGCAGUUUGAGUCACAACUUUAUUUUUUUUUUUACUUAGCGCAUCUGCCACCACUUUAGCAGUGCCUGGCGUGGUAAAUUUUUAUUUUUAGCAGCUCCAACUUGUUUUGUGCGUCGUUCAACUCUUUAGUAAACAGGAUUAGGCUCUGUAUGUUGUUUACCGUCGCCAUAAAGAUAGUGCGGCCAUAGCUUCAAUGCAAACACUACGGCCCCAACUCCAAAUCAUGCCGUCGGGGCUAGUUUUCUAAUAUUCUUUAAUUGGCGAGAAGUAUACACGAUACUUGCAUCCUGCAUCAAUACACAGCCAGAUCCAUUAAGUAAGAUCACUAUAAAACCAUCAAUACCUACUCCAGCUACUGUCAGGGUCAAGUAUCGGGGCGGUCAGUCAAUCUCUGCUUCAACUCUUGGAAGCUUCGUCGGCACGCAUCAUUUCCAAAUGAAUUGAAGCUCUUUAUGCGUGAGCCUUCGUGAGGGGAGUAGACAGUUAGAAAAUCCCUCGAAAUCUCCGGUAGGUAACCCGGCCAAUCAAGACGAAAACUCCGUUUAUCUCCGAUGACGCUCGUCUGGUCUCGGCCAAUCCUGAUUGACUUCAAUCUUCUAUAGGACCACGCUAAUAUUUAUAUUUUUUUUGGUUUUUCUGUUUUUUUUUUUUUUUUUUUCCCCCUCUUUUAAUUAACCCGAUCCGAAAUCAAGUGUCAAGUGAAAGCACUCUCGAAGCCAAGAUUAGCGCAUUUCUUCAAAUUGCAUAAGCCUCUAUUUCCCGAUGUACUUGGAGUAUAAUCUAAAUGCUCCUCCAGCAUCUGCAUCACUUCGAGAAUAAACAAAUGUCGUUCGCAAUGAACACCACGGACGAACCUAUCAGGUAAGACUUUUAAAGACCGGCUUCAUCAGUAUCUAAAGCUGCCAGAGGAUUAGUAGCCCAACGGCAUAACUGUUGAACUCGAUGUCCAUACGUUUCUAAAAGCGUCUUUGAAACGUCUCGGUUGAUCUUCAACUGGUGGCUAUUCCAACUGCAAGUGAUCUUGGAAUAACAUAUAUGAUCCUGAAGCCGAUCAAACAAGAUCGUCGAUCAUCGGCAAGGAUACUUUUUCUUGAUCUUGACCUAUAUUUAAGUUCACGAUAAACCACGCAAAGGCGAAGUGAUCACGUCCUUUUUAUUUGACGAACAAACGGGGUGUCCCUAGGUGAAACGCUCAGGUCGAAUGAAGUCUUUUCCAACAAAUGUUGCAGCUGUGCCCUCAGCUCCCUUAGCUUGGCCGGUGCCAUCUAAUAGGUGCCUUGAGAUGGGGUAGUCCAGGAGAGAUCUACCACAAGUCAAUCUCGCUAUCAGGAUGGAUACCCAGGUAGCUCAGCCUGGAAACACAUCUCGUGGAACUCUCGCAUACCGGGAUAUCAUCGAUCUGGGGUGUCAUACUACGCUCUCAACGACACUAGCCAAAUAGUCUAUACAGCCUCUCGGCUGAUAAGCGUGCCUAAGCUCGAGCACGAGCUGAAUCGUCAUCGCAAACAGCAACUCGACUCACUAAUACACCUAGUCUGCCCCGGUUCUCUAAAGUAACCGUGCGAUUCUUGCAAUUCAAUGUGGCAUACAUAUUGGUCAACAAUCCAUGCCGAAGACAACAAAAUCUGCCAGCUUGCGCAAAGAAUAGCAAAUCCUAUAGCAUUAUCAAUCUCUACGACGAAUAGGGCAAAUAGGCUAUAUCAUCUUAAUAUCCAAAAUAUGUCGGGUAAACAACAGUGUCCGCUUAGCACAAGAACCAAAUGGAUUAGCCAUGCAACUCGUCAACAGUCGAUCUAUAAGAUGAAUGCGAGCACCGUAUACGAAUAAGCGACGAACUCUAAGCCAUCAAGUAAAAUAGAUUACCUGCACCACAUCUCCCUGCUGCGCCUUCUCGUCUGAGCGGAUCGACAUGAAAGAAAAAAGCACUCGGGGCCUAUGAAGGUGAGAAAUGAGGAAAUUUGAUCUACCACAAGCUCCAAAAGCAAGCUCCAAGCCUCCAAAGGUGAGAGCCGGCAGAAAUGAGGAAGAACGAUGGUGCUCAAGCCUCAAGCAAGCUCCUCUUCUUCUUCUUCUCCUUCUUCUCUUCCCUUUCUCUCUCUAGAAGUGUAAAGGAGGUAGUGAGGCGAGAGAAAAUGGAAUGAGAGGGGAGGAGAGGCUGCAUAGCCUUAGGUAAACAAGCCACUUAGGCCCUCAAAAGAAUUCACUCUGCUGCACUGCCCGGCGUCACUGGGCAGUUUUCGCCGCAGAGCGACGGGUCUCCCCGUACUUGGGACGGUCUCUCAGCGCCCCGAAGAUNNNNNNNNNNNNNNNNNNNNNNNNNNNNNNNNNNNNNNNNNNNNNNNNNNNNNNNNNNNNNNNNNNNNNNNNNNNNNNNNNNNNNNNNNNNNNNNNNNNNUUGAUCUGCAAGCAGGUUGAGUAAUUACCAGCUGAGGUGAGGGUUCGGAAACAUGUUCCCAAGAUGGCUUUCGAAUAUAGUACGGGGCAUUUUAGGAUUGUACAAUGAUUACCUUUUGUACUUGAUUAUGAUCUCGCCGCUUUGUGGGAUUUGUUGAUGACAUCGGUAUUCUAACACAGCCGUUCUUUGGGAUAAAUUUGUAGUACAAGUAUUUUCUUGAUAGAUAUAUCUGAUGUUACUACCAGGGUUGAUGCAAGGGGACCCGCAGAGGAGCACUGAGGAUUGUGUUAAACUUCUUGAAAAGAAAAGAAAGUUGUAUGCAAGUUGAAAAACUGCGAUUUUGGCUUCGGGAUUGUUGUUUAUUAUCGCGGCCAUGUUGAUUUUUGCAGUUGGGAGUUGCAGUCUGAUCCGAAGAGAUUUGAAUGCGACUUCAGGAAUUUUGCCGAGACCAGACACGGUUACCGCCCGGGUGAAGGCAGUUUACUUUGGAUUGACUGGUUAUUACCGUCGGUUGUGGAAGAGUUUUGCGAAGGCUUUCACACCCCUCACUCGAUUGACUUCAUAAGGGAUCCGGUUCAUCUUGGCGUGAAGAUUGUUAAGGGAGCUGCGAUGAGUUGAGGCGGCAAGGUGAUGUUGGGCUUCCUAUUCUUGCUCUUCGUGUGAUGGGGGAAGCGAUUUCGUUGAUUCUACAGUGAUGCGUUUCAACAGCCGGUUUUGGGUUGUAUUUUGAUUGAGCUGGAUAGAGUAAUUGCUUAUUGGCUUCUCGGGUAGGUAAACGGAAUUACUGAGAGAAUUUACCCUACGCAUGAUUUGGGGUUGCCUUGUAGAUUUGCUCUGAAGUUGUGGCGCAUUAAUCGUAUCGGUGAGAUACUGUGAAGUUUUUAAAAUCACAAAGAGUCUUCAAAGUAUCUGUUCAUUUCAGAAGCGAAAUUGAACUGGAGCAUGCAGUGGGUGGAGUUAUUGAAGGAUUAUGAUAUCCGUAAUUCAGAUCACCCUGGUAAGGCGCAAUGUCAGUGCAGUGUGCUUGAACAGAGGUGGAGUGCAGACCUCAGAUAGAUGAUCACCAACAAUGGCCGUUUACUUGAGGAAUUACAAGUUUUUAAAACUUUGAGGUGGAUGUUCCCUGUGGAACCACUGCUAGAAUGAUUCUAUGGUCUCUGCAAGCCCACUUCUUGUUAAUAGGAUCAGGAAGAACAAAGUGGAGGACCUCAUUUGUUGCAGGAUCGAAGAGCAGAUAAGAAGGGGACUGGACAGAGGAUUUUCGCUAUGGACAGUUUGGGAUACUGCAGGUACCAGGGACCACUGGUAGUGGUGCCUAUAGAUUCAGAAGCACCAAAGGAGAUUUUCGGAGGAGGGGCUAUUACUCGCCUUAUAGGUUCACCUGGUGGAAACCAGAUGUAUAUAAGAAUUGAAGCCACAUUUCUGUGGAAUGGAAUGGAAGAGGGGAACACUUAAAAGAUGUAAUUGGGUCAGAGUGUUGAUUGUUUCAAACAGGUGAAGGCGGGGGAGCAUCGUGGUGCUUGCCUGGGCAAGCGUCUGAAGCUUUUCAGGUUGCGAUAGUGGAAAAAGGGAUAUCAGAAUCACCAUGAACUUUGUGCGGUUGGAUUUAACGAAGAGCUUUCAGGGCUGGAUGUGAUGCUUUCUGGCGUGAUAAGGUGGAUAGGACGGAUCAAAGUCUGCCACUUCUAUCGUGCAGGGGGGACCCUUAAGGUCAGAGGCAGCGGGGGACUGCUGGUUAUUUUGGAUGAGGUAGUGUGGUCUCAUGGUGUCGCCUACUCGAUUGUAUCAAAUAGAGGACGCCGAGGUAUCUCGGCGGUUUCUGAGAGGAGCUCUCGACGGGCUGUGGGGGGUACGCGCUUUAUUUAUAGUAUGAGCCUUUUUCAAUCACGGGACAGUGGUCAGGCGAGGGACCAUUCCAGGACUCUAGAGGACAUGUGGAGCUUUGUGUUCUGGAUUUUGAGGAAGGUGGUUCGACACUUCAGAUGGUUGAGUUUACGUACACAACAACAGCUAUCAAGCGAGCAUUUGAAUGGCUCUGUUUAAAGCGUUGUAUGGACGCAAAUGCCGAUCCCCUUUACAUUAGAGUGAUGUGGGUGAGAGGAAUAAUUUGGGCCCUGAUAUUAUGUUGGAAAUAGAGAAAAAUGUCAGAGUUGUGCGACAACAUCUUGAGACCACCCAGAGUUGGAGUUUCAAGUUGGAGACCAUGUGUACCUGAAAGUCUCGCCGUCCGGAGGGAUUCGCAAAUUUUGGGUUCGUGGAAAGCUCAGUCCACGAUUUGUUUGCCCUUUUGAGGUUUUGGAGCGAGUCGGGCCAGUGGCUUAUAGGAUUGCACUUUCCUCGCGACUUACCGGUAUCCAUAAUGUGUUCCAUGUCUCAGCUUUGAGGAGAUAUGUUUUCGACUCCUCUCACGUGAUUGACUUUACUCCACUUAAGUUAGGCGAGCACCUGAGGUACGAGGAGCGACCGGUGCGGAUUCUUGUUCGUGAGACGAAAGAAUUGCGCAACCGGGUCAUACCAUAUGUGAAAGUGCAGUGGAGUAAUCAUAAGGAGCGUGAGGCGACUUGGGAGCCGGAGACUAUGAUGCAGGAGUUCUACCCCUACUUGUUUGAGGCACCGUGUUGAGAUAUGAUUCUAAGUUUCGAGGACGAAACUUUUUGUAGUAGAGUAGGAUAUAGUGUCCCUGGGGUUUAGCUGUUUGAGAGACUUCAGCAUCUGUGGCUUGUCCACACGUCUGGUAAGUGUCGGGACAAGUCGGAGUCGUUUUGGCGCGAAUUGGACGCAAAACGGACUUGGUGCAGUGCAAGAGUGGAAUUCUGACACUAAAAUCUACAAAGUGCAGGAUUUCAAUGUUGAGAACCAGUACCUGGGAUGAGUACCGAUACCCCAAAGGGAUUACAGAUUUGAAUGCUCUCGGAUUUGUACAGUUUGAUACUGAGUACCGAUACUUGUUGGUGAGUACCGAUACUGGGACUGAGUACCGGUACUGCAUCGGGCUAGUACCACAAUCCGGCGUGCGAGUUUGCGGAAAGAGGGCCGAGUACCGAUACCCAAGUUGAGUAGCGGUACUCCAAAAGGCAAAUCGAGUUGGUAAGAGGUAUUUUGGUCUUUUUGGGCAGAUAAGUACCAACUGACCCCAGCCUUCUCUCUUUGUGCCUGAGGUUGGAGAACACAGGCUGGCUUCCUUCUUUCUCUCUCUAGCUUCUCUUCUUUGUUUCUUUGUGAUUUUGGAGAGUCGAUCUUAGUUUUUGUUCGCUUGGUCUUUGGAGGUUGCUCGCGUACCUUGGAUGGUUCCGAUGGAGGUUGAGCCAUUUGAGGUAGGGCUAGCGCGGGGUUCUCCUAUCGACUUCUAGCCGACGUUGGACGAGUGUUCGAGAUGGGUUAAUGUUUAUCGAAAUCGUCGGAUUUACUUCUAAGUCAUAGAGUUAGCAGCAUGUAUUUCUUGGCUUUGUUUAUCAUGUUUAGUAGCUCGAAUUCAUAGAUUUGCAUAUCUUUUAUGAAACCUGAAUUUGGAGCCUAAUUUAAUAAAUUUAGAAGAUUUGUUACAUGCUGGACUGGGAUUUGACUUAGGAAAAAACUCGUAGAACCUACACUGUCACUUUUCGAAAAGUAAACGAAUUAGCUUCAGGAGCUGUUAUUCUUUUGCAUCACCGCUGUUAGUGCAUAGUGGAUACUCAGAUUAGUGUAGGUUGAGGUUACGCUCGUGCUGAGGGGGCGAGCUUGAUUUUAUAGUAGGGUUUGUACUGUUUUGUACUGUCAGGUGUCGUCGGGUGUUGAUGGUGGACCCGGAUGUUUACAUCUUAUUUCAGAUUUGUGCCGAGGGCACGUGAGCUUUGGUUAUUAGACCAAUUUAACCCAUUUGCAUUAAUUAUAGCCUGUGUGAGCCUGAUUGAGCUCAACAGAAACACUCUUGCAUACUCGGUUGGGUCGCUCCCACGAGUGCCGCUCCGAAGUGAGGUUUUACUGGCGUUGGUGUUGCAGGAAUCCCGUUUGAGCAAUUCUUGGACCGGCCACCACCGUGAGUGGUGUGCGGUGUAGCUUGGGUACAAGCUGGACGAGCCAGUUGGCAGUCCCUCGAGAUUGGAUCAGUGUGUAGCUAGUGAUACAUUUCUGUGUCUACAGUGAGCCUGGUUUGGGAUAGCGGUAGUAUAAUGGCAUAGAGCUGUAGAGUUUCUUCCAUCUUUCUUACUAUCCUUUACCUAUUUGUGUCUUACCUUACUGUAGACUUAGUGGGUGGGCCGUUGAGGUCGAUGACGAUACCCGCUGAGGACUACUCUGUUUUGCAGUAGUUCUCACACCCAGUUGUUGCCACCUUUUUGCAGACCCGUCCGCUGCUGUUGCUGCUGCUGUUGCUGAUUCCGACCACAGUACGAAAAUUUCUAUGUAUACAGCGGGUAUGUUGGUGUGCUCGAAAAAACGUGGUAAUCUGAAGCGUAAUAAAUAUUUAGUUAGCAAAAUUGAAUUGUGCGAUUUAAUUACAAUAAUUUAAAAAGUGUGAGCCAAAAUUUUAGUACAUUAAUUAAAGUUAAAAACUAAAAUUUUACUUACCUUAAAUUGCCAAACAUUGUAAUUUAGCAUAAAAAAAAAAAUCAGUAACGAUACCAAAUAAGAAAAUUAAUUUACUAUUUUGUGUAUUUUAGUGAUACCAACGUUUCCCACUGAUUUUCUUUUUUUUUCCCAGCGGUGGUGGUGUAUUGUGCGGUCCCGUGCUGACGUGCAUGCGUUUAACAAUAUUUCUAACAAACGAUUCCAGAAUAAACUUCAAAUAUCAACCCCUCUGUUUCGUACUUUCUUACUUUAGUAUUAUAUACUAUAUGAUUUUAUUUUUUUCUUUUCGCCGACCCAUCCGUUAAUUUUUUAUUAAAUUAUAUACAAAAAACUUCAGAUAUUUCAUCUAUAGUUUAUCGAAUAUUUAUUUUAGCAUUCUUUAGUUUUAACUUUGUCACUAAUUUAACAAAAAAAAUUAGUGAAGAAAAUAACAAAAAGAAAAAAAUAAAACCACAAGAUACGAAAAUAAUACACUUUAAAUUAUAUGAUACUAAAGUAAAAAAAAACGAAACUACAGGAAUAAUAUUUAAAGUUUUCCCAACAAGAUCAGAAUAUGGUGAACCAAAAGAUCCCAAAGCAACAACUUUAAUAAGAAGCUAUUGAAUUUAUUAGGGAUAUAUACCAGUGCUUGUUUGGCUCUAGAUCUCAAACAGGAAAAAUUCUAGAAUGCAACAGGUAUAUUGAUGACGUGGCGUAACAAUCCAAUCAAAUGUAUUUUUUUAGAGAUAUAUAUGCCAUCGUGAUUAUAAAAAAAUAUUUUUAUUAUACUUUUAUUUAAAAAAAAAUGAAUAUAAUUGGCUUGCUAUUGAUGACGUGGUGCAAGUGUGACCGUAUAGAAUUCCUCCACAAACAGA